CCUACGGGAGGCAGCAGUGAGGAAUAUUGGUCAAUGUACGAGAGUCUGAACCAGCCACGUAGCGUGAAGGAUGACUGCCCUAUGGGUUGUAAACUUCUUUUAUAAAGGAAUAAAACGAGGCACGUUUGCCUUUUUACAUGUACUUUAUGAAUAAUGAUCGGCUAACUCCGUGCCAGCCGCCUCGGUAAUACGGAGGAUCCGAGCGUUAUCCGGAUUUAUUGGGUUUACAGGUAGCGUAGAUGGGUUGUUAAGUCAGUUGUGAAAGUUUGCGGCGCAACCGUAAAAGUGCAAUUGAUACUGGCAGUCUUGAGUACAGUUGAGGUAGGCGGAAUUCGUGGUGUAGCGGUGAAAUGCUUAGAUAUCACGAAGAACCCCGAUUGCGAAGGCAGCUUACUAAACUGUGACUGACAUUGAUGCUCGAAAGUGUGGGUAUCAAACAGGAGUAGAUACCCGUGUAGUC
RNAcentral lists this ribosomal RNA (460 nucleotides) under uncultured bacterium. RNAcentral describes it as "partial 16S ribosomal RNA". It matches the Rfam family "Bacterial small subunit ribosomal RNA", at positions 338 to 795 of the family's 1533-position model. The record is from RNAcentral.